Molecule: ribosomal RNA, 390 nt
Filed under: uncultured bacterium
Lineage: Bacteria
Description: partial 16S ribosomal RNA
Rfam family: Bacterial small subunit ribosomal RNA
Source: RNAcentral
AUACGGAGGAUCCGAGCGUUAUCCGGAUUUAUUGGGUUUAAAGGGUGCGCAGGCGGCCAUUUAAGUCAGCGGUUAAAUCGUGGGGCUCAACCCCAUUCUGCCGUUGAUACUGGGUGGCUUGAUUGCGGUCGAGGUUGGCGGAAUUCGUUGUGUAGCGGUGAAAUGCAUAGAUAUGACGAAGAACACCGAUUGCGUAGGCAGCUGACCAGACCGCAAAUGACGCUCAUGCACGAAAGUGCGGGGAUCGAACAGGAUUAGAUACCCUGGUAGUCCGCACAGAAAACGAUGAAUACUUGUUUUCGGCGAUAUAAUGUCGGAGGCAAAGCGAAAGCGAUAAGUAUUCCACCUGGGGAGUACGCCGGCAACGGUGAAACUCAAAGGAAUUGACGG